This 1123-nucleotide ribosomal RNA is filed under the name Dermocarpella sp. KIOST-1. RNAcentral's name for it is "bacterial SSU rRNA". It matches the Rfam family "Bacterial small subunit ribosomal RNA", at positions 233 to 1370 of the family's 1533-position model. Lineage: Bacteria; Bacillati; Cyanobacteriota; Cyanophyceae; Pleurocapsales; Dermocarpellaceae. The record is from RNAcentral.
GCGGCCGAUUAGCUAGUUGGUGGGGUAAGAGCCUACCAAGGCAGCGAUCGGUAGCUGGUCUGAGAGGAUGAGCAGCCACACUGGGACUGAGACACGGCCCAGACUCCUACGGGAGGCAGCAGUGGGGAAUUUUCCGCAAUGGGCGAAAGCCUGACGGAGCAAUACCGCGUGAGGGAGGAAGGCUUUUGGGUUGUAAACCUCUUUUGUUAAGGAAGAAUCAAGUGACGGUACUUAACGAAUCAGCAUCGGCUAACUCCGUGCCAGCAGCCGCGGUAAUACGGAGGAUGCAAGCGUUAUCCGGAAUCAUUGGGCGUAAAGCGUCCGCAGGUGGUUCAUCAAGUCUGCUGUUAAAGACAGAAGCUCAACUUCUGAAAGGCGGUGGAAACUGGAGAACUAGAGUACGGUAGGGGUCGAGGGAAUUCCCAGUGUAGCGGUGAAAUGCGUAGAGAUUGGGAAGAACACCAGUGGCGAAGGCGCUCGACUGGGCCGUAACUGACACUCAGGGACGAAAGCUAGGGUAGCGAAAGGGAUUAGAUACCCCUGUAGUCCUAGCGGUAAACGAUGAACACUAGGCGUUGCUUGUAUCGACCCGAGCAGUGCCGUAGCCAACGCGUUAAGUGUUCCGCCUGGGGAGUACGCACGCAAGUGUGAAACUCAAAGGAAUUGACGGGGGCCCGCACAAGCGGUGGAGUAUGUGGUUUAAUUCGAUGCAACGCGAAGAACCUUACCAGGACUUGACAUCCCAAGAACCCAGCGUAAUGGCUGGGGUGCCUUAGGGAACUUGGAGACAGGUGGUGCAUGGCUGUCGUCAGCUCGUGUCGUGAGAUGUUGGGUUAAGUCCCGCAACGAGCGCAACCCUCGUUCUUAGUUGCCAGCAUUAAGUUGGGCACUUUAGGAAGACUGCCGGUGACAAACCGGAGGAAGGUGGGGAUGACGUCAAGUCAGCAUGCCCCUUACGUUCUGGGCUACACACGUACUACAAUGGUUGGGACAAAGGGCAGCGAACUCGCGAGAGUAAGCGAAUCUCAGCAAACCCAGCCUCAGUUCAGAUUGCAGGCUGCAACUCGCCUGCAUGAAGGAGGAAUCGCUAGUAAUCGCAGGUCAGCAUACGGCGGUGAAUCCG